ACUCACCGACGAGGCCGCCCAGCUGUUGAAGUUGUGACUGUCUCUCUCCGGGGAGACGGACGACGCGUCCACCACGGCGGCCGAGAGCUUAACUUAGCUCCGAGGGCAACUCAGCAAAGAGCAGGCCAACAACAGGUGCAUUUUGAGAGCUGCUAGCAUCGUUUGAAAACCUGCCCACUUUGCUGCAGGCCGCAACCCACCACGGGCCGUGUUCCAAGCGCGGGCCCUGAGUCAGUUAUUUGGAACUGGGUACUCUUCUGAUGUGCGGAUUGAAAACAACACAGAGCGUCCCUUCAGGGUCCUGUUACACAGGCGCGCGGCAUCACCUGGACUUUUUGUUUAAACUGAUACAGCCGCUUCUAAUUCUCCAACGAGCUCGCCAAUACUUCACACACAGGGGCCUGCGAAUCCACUCAGGAUAAAGCUAAAUGCUGCCUCUCUCUGAAGAGCCGCCACCGUCCCGAGCCGAGCUGGCGGCUUUCACCCAGAGCUUGUGGCAUGGUCUCGUCCGUACCUCCCCCGACUGCGUGCUGGCCUUUGUUUACCCUGUGCCUGGCAGGCAGGACAGGAAUCCGCUCACCCUGGAGCACGCUUGCCUCUUCGUUUUUAAUGGCAGUUUCACUCUAACUCUGCACAUGGCGCACCCCGGCAUACAAGGGUUGUGACGUGCCAGGGGUUAAGGAGAGGUCUGUUUGUUUAUCUGAGAGGCAGAGACAGAGACACAGAGCUCCAGUCUGCUGGCUCACUCCUCCAGUGCCCACCGAUGGCCAGGGCCUGGCAGGCCCAAAGCUGGGCGUGCAUCCAGAUCUCCCAUGUGAGUGGCAGGGCCAUCACUGCUCCCUCCUCGGGUCUGCAUUAGCAGGAAGCCAGAAUCGGGGGCUGGGGCUGGGGCUGGAACACAGGUACUCUGAUACGGGACACAGGUGUCUUAACCACCAGGGCCCACACCCGUAUAGGGAGGAGUUGGAAGCAAGGAGGACCUGCAGAGGCUGGUCCCCGACACACCCGUGUUUCCACAGGAGCUGGAUUCAGUCUCUGAGCACUGGUUUGCUACUUUGUCUGCAACAAUGCCUGGGUCUUCUAGCACGCCCAGCUUCACACUCAGGGGUAAAGCACUUGCAAGCCCCAGAGACGCGCUGAGAUGGUGUGCUGUGUUGGGUUCUCCGUGGCGUGGCCAAGAGACAGGACGGAGUGCCAUCCCUGCUAGUGGGCAUCGGACAAGAACAACACCCAUGGGUGGGGCCAAUGUUGUGGCGUAGCAGGUAAAGCCUCCGCCUGCAGUGCCGGCAUCCCACAUGGGCACUGGUUCAAGUCCCGGCUGCUGCACUUCCGAUCCAACUCUCUGCUAUGGCCUGGGAAAGCAGUAGAAGAUGACCCAAGUCCUUGGGCCCCUGCACCCACGUGGGAGACCCGGAAGAAGCUCCUGGCUUCGGAUCAGCAAGCUCCGGCUAUUGCGGCCAUUUGGGGAGUGAACCAGCAGAUAGAAGACCUCUCUCUCUCUGCCUCUGCUUCUCUGUAACUCUUCCUUUCAAAUAAAUAAAAGAGAACCUUAG
Oryctolagus cuniculus (rabbit) is the source of this 1553-nucleotide non-coding RNA. Lineage: Eukaryota; Metazoa; Chordata; Mammalia; Lagomorpha; Leporidae. The record is from RefSeq and is a predicted model, not a curated record.